RNAcentral lists this ribosomal RNA (442 nucleotides) under Clitopaxillus alexandri. Its description in RNAcentral is "LSU rRNA". It matches the Rfam family "Eukaryotic large subunit ribosomal RNA", at positions 194 to 621 of the family's 3401-position model. The record is from RNAcentral. Lineage: Eukaryota; Fungi; Basidiomycota; Agaricomycetes; Agaricales; Pseudoclitocybaceae.
AAUGGAGCGUCAUAGAGGGUGAGAAUCCCGUCUUUGACACGGACUACCAGGGCUUUGUGAUAUGCUCUCAAAGAGUCGAGUUGUUUGGGAAUGCAGCUCAAAAUGGGUGGUAAAUUCCAUCUAAAGCUAAAUAUUGGCGAGAGACCGAUAGCGAACAAGUACCGUGAGGGAAAGAUGAAAAGAACUUUGGAAAGAGAGUUAAAUAGUACGUGAAAUUGUUGAAAGGGAAACGCUUGAAGUCAGUCGCGUUGGCCAGGGAUCAACCUUGCUUUUGCUGGGUGUACUUUCUGGUUAAUGGGUCAGCAUCAAUUUUGACCAUUGGAUAAAGGUCAGGGGAAUGUGGCAUCUCCGGAUGUGUUAUAGCCCUUGAUUGCAUACAAUGUUUGGGAUUGAGGAACUCAGCACGCCGAAAGGCCGGGUAUUUAUACUACGUACGUGCUUA